GGAUGCGAUCAUACCAGCACUAAAGCACCGGAUCCCAUUAGAACUCUGAAGUUAAGCGUGCUUGGGCGAGAGUAGUACUAGGAUGGGUGACCUCCUGGGAAGUCCUCGUGUUGCAAUCC
RNAcentral lists this ribosomal RNA (119 nucleotides) under Triticum aestivum (bread wheat). Lineage: Eukaryota; Viridiplantae; Streptophyta; Magnoliopsida; Poales; Poaceae. The record is from RNAcentral.